Molecule: ribosomal RNA, 1576 nt
Filed under: Rana zhenhaiensis
Lineage: Eukaryota; Metazoa; Chordata; Amphibia; Anura; Ranidae
Description: 16S ribosomal RNA
Rfam family: Bacterial large subunit ribosomal RNA
Source: RNAcentral
CUAAAAUCUAGCCCACAAAUUCACAUGCCCACCCUCUACCAAAGCAACCAAAUAAAACAUUUUAACACCUUAGUACAGGCGAUCGAAAAACUUCUAAGCGCUUCAGAUAAAGUACCGCAAGGGAAAUAUGAAAUAGAAAUGAAAUAACCCUAAAGCCCCAAACAGCAGAGACAAUACCUCGUACCUUUUGCAUCAUGGUCUAGCCAGUCUACUCAAGCAAAAUGAAACUUUCAGUUUGACUCCCCGAAACCAAGCGAGCUACUUCAGAACAGCCAAAAGGGCCAACCCGUCUCUGUUGCAAAAGAGUGGGAAGAUUCUCAAGUAGAGGUGACAAGCCUACCGAGCCAGGAGAUAGCUGGUUGUUCAAGAAAAGAGUUUUAGCUCUACCUUAAGUUUUUUUGUUAAACUGAACAAGACCUCAGACUUAAGAGCUAUUCAAAUAAGGCACAGCUUAUUUGAAACAGGACACAACCUACAACAUAGGGUAACCAAGAGUGACUCAAAUAAAGUGGGCCUAAAAGCAGCCAUCUUUAAAAAAGCGUUAAAGCUUAACUACCCCCUCACUCACAAUACCUAAAGCCCUCACUAACCCCUCAUCACUAUUGAACAACUUUAUACUCAUAUAAAAGCUAUCAUGCUAGAACUAGUAACAAGAAACUGCCUUUCUCCUAAAUGUAAGUAUACACCAAAAUAAACUCUGUUGGUUAUUAACGUAAAUGCUAAACUAUAGUAACACCCACUAGAAAACCCUAUAACUCCUAACGUUAACCUUACACCAGAACAUUCCAGGAAAGAUUAAAAGAAAAAGAAGGAACUCGGCAAAUCAUAGCCUCGCCUGUUUACCAAAAACAUCGCCUCUUGCAAAACAUAAGAGGUCCAGCCUGCCCAGUGACAAAGUUCAACGGCCGCGGUACCCUAACCGUGCGAAGGUAGCAUAAUCACUUGUUCUUUAAAUGAGGACUCGUAUCAACGGCACUACGAGGGCUAUACUGUCUCCUUUUUCCAAUCAGUGAAACUGAUCUCCCCGUGAAGAAGCGGGGAUCAAAAUAUAAGACGAGAAGACCCCAUGGAGCUUUAAACUCUCUGUACACUUCUGUGUUCCCACAUCAUUAGACAUAAGAAAUCUGUACACUAGUUUUAGGUUGGGGGGACCACGGAGUACAAUUUAACCUCCAUAACAAAUGGGCUAAUUACCCUUAUCCACGAGACACACCUCUAAGAAUUAUUAAACUAAUGCUUAUGACCCGAUAUUCGAUCAAUGAACCAAGUUACCCUGGGGAUAACAGCGCAAUCUACUUCAAGAGCCCAUAUCGACAAGUAGGUUUACGACCUCGAUGUUGGAUCAGGGUAUCCCGGUGGUGCAGCCGCUACCAAUGGUUCGUUUGUUCAACGAUUAAAACCCUACGUGAUCUGAGUUCAGACCGGAGCAAUCCAGGUCGGUUUCUAUCUAUAAAGCGCUUCUCCCAGUACGAAAGGACCGGAGCAACAUGGCCAAUGCCCCAACAAGCCAUCACCUAUCACUAAUGAAACUAUCUCAAUUGACCAAGACCUAUUACCCUCCCCUAAACCAGGGUAG